GAUGAAGAACGCAGCGAAAUGCGAUAAGUAAUGUGAAUUGCAGAAUUCAGUGAAUCAUCGAAUCUUUGAACGCACAUUGCGCCCUCUGGUAUUCCGGGGGGCAUGCCUGUUCGAGCGUCAUUAUAACCACUCAAGCUCUCGCGUGGUAUUGGGGUUCGCGGUUCCGCGGCCCCUAAAAUCAGUGGCGGUGCCUGUCGGCUCUACGCGUAGUAAUACUCCUCGCGAUUGAGUCCGGUAGGUCUACUUGCCAGCAACCCCCAAUUUUUACAGGUUGACCUCGGAUCAGGUAGGGAUACCCGCUGAACUUAAGCAUAUCAAUAAGCGGAGGA
Molecule: unclassified non-coding RNA, 329 nt
Filed under: soil metagenome
Description: partial contains 5.8S ribosomal RNA, internal transcribed spacer 2, and large subunit ribosomal RNA
Rfam family: 5.8S ribosomal RNA (bases 1-120)
Source: RNAcentral